GUCUUCGUGGUGUAACGGUAGCACAAUCGGCUUGCAUUCGAGAGGUCCAGGUUCAAGUCUCGGCGAGGACA
RNAcentral lists this transfer RNA (71 nucleotides) under Stegodyphus mimosarum. It matches the Rfam family "tRNA". From Rfam's summary of the family: Transfer RNA (tRNA) molecules are approximately 80 nucleotides in length. Their secondary structure includes four short double-helical elements and three loops (D, anti-codon, and T loops). Lineage: Eukaryota; Metazoa; Arthropoda; Arachnida; Araneae; Eresidae. The record is from Rfam by way of RNAcentral.